RNAcentral lists this ribosomal RNA (109 nucleotides) under Notechis scutatus (mainland tiger snake). The record is from RNAcentral. Lineage: Eukaryota; Metazoa; Chordata; Lepidosauria; Squamata; Elapidae.
AUAUAUGAGAGACACUAGUUGAACUUGAGUAAUCUCAAAAUGAUAAGCAGGGCCAGUCCUUGUUAAUAUUUGGAUGGGAGACCACUAGGAAAUUCUAGGCUUGUAGGCU